Molecule: ribosomal RNA, 996 nt
Filed under: Escherichia coli
Lineage: Bacteria; Pseudomonadati; Pseudomonadota; Gammaproteobacteria; Enterobacterales; Enterobacteriaceae
Description: partial 23S ribosomal RNA
Rfam family: Bacterial large subunit ribosomal RNA
Source: RNAcentral
CAUAGGUUAAUGAGGCGAACCGGGGGAACUGAAACAUCUAAGUACCCCGAGGAAAAGAAAUCAACCGAGAUUCCCCCAGUAGCGGCGAGCGAACGGGGAGGAGCCCAGAGCCUGAAUCAGUGUGUGUGUUAGUGGAAGCGUCUGGAAAGGCGCGCGAUACAGGGUGACAGCCCCGUACACAAAAAUGCACAUAUUGUGAGCUCGAUGAGUAGGGCGGGACACGUGGUAUCCUGUCUGAAUAUGGGGGGACCAUCCUCCAAGGCUAAAUACUCCUGACUGACCGAUAGUGAACCAGUACCGUGAGGGAAAGGCGAAAAGAACCCCGGCGAGGGGAGUGAAAAAGAACCUGAAACCGUGUACGUACAAGCAGUGGGAGCCUCUUAAUGGGGUGACUGCGUACCUUUUGUAUAAUGGGUCAGCGACUUAUAUUCUGUAGCAAGGUUAACCGAAUAGGGGAGCCGAAGGGAAACCGAGUCUUAACUGGGCGUUAAGUUGCAGGGUAUAGACCCGAAACCCGGUGAUCUAGCCAUGGGCAGGUUGAAGGUUGGGUAACACUAACUGGAGGACCGAACCGACUAAUGUUGAAAAAUUAGCGGAUGACUUGUGGCUGGGGGUGAAAGGCCAAUCAAACCGGGAGAUAGCUGGUUCUCCCCGAAAGCUAUUUAGGUAGCGCCUCGUGAAUUCAUCUCCGGGGGUAGAGCACUGUUUCGGCAAGGGGGUCAUCCCGACUUACCAACCCGAUGCAAACUGCGAAUACCGGAGAAUGUUAUCACGGGAGACACACGGCGGGUGCUAACGUCCGUCGUGAAGAGGGAAACAACCCAGACCGCCAGCUAAGGUCCCAAAGUCAUGGUUAAGUGGGAAACGAUGUGGGAAGGCCCAGACAGCCAGGAUGUUGGCUUAGAAGCAGCCAUCAUUUAAAGAAAGCGUAAUAGCUCACUGGUCGAGUCGGCCUGCGCGGAAGAUGUAACGGGGCUAAACCAUGCACCGAAGCUG